GAUGAACGCUGGCGGCGUGCUUAACACAUGCAAGUCGAACGAUGAAGCCGGAGCUUGCUCUGGUGAAUUAGUGGCGAACGGGUGAGUAACACGUGAGUAACCUGCCCUUGACUCUGGGAUAACUGCGGGAAACUGUAGCUAAUACCGGAUACGACCCUCGGCGGCAUCGCCAGGGGGUGGAAAGAAUUUCGGUCAAGGAUGGACUCGCGGCCUAUCAGCUAGUUGGUGAGGUAACGGCUCACCAAGGCGACGACGGGUAGCCGGCCUGAGCGGGUGACCGGCCACACUGGGACUGAGACAAGGCCCAGACUCCUACGGGAGGCAGCAGUGGGGAAUAUUGCUCAAUGGGCGCAAGCCUGAUGCAGCGACGCCGCGUGAGGGAUGACGGCCUUCGGGUUGUAAACCUCUUUCAGCACAGACGAAGCGCAAGUGACGGUAUGUGCAGAAGAAGGACCGGCCAACUACGUGCCAGCCGCCGCAGUAA
RNAcentral lists this ribosomal RNA (484 nucleotides) under uncultured bacterium. RNAcentral's name for it is "partial 16S ribosomal RNA". It matches the Rfam family "Bacterial small subunit ribosomal RNA", at positions 28 to 523 of the family's 1533-position model. The record is from RNAcentral.